RNAcentral lists this long non-coding RNA (850 nucleotides) under Capra hircus (goat). RNAcentral describes it as "lncRNA (ENSCHIG00010009298.1)". Lineage: Eukaryota; Metazoa; Chordata; Mammalia; Artiodactyla; Bovidae. The record is from RNAcentral.
CUCAAAGUGUGUUCCUCAACCAGCAUCACUGACGUCCCAUGAACACUGGUUAGAAAUUCAGAAUCUUAGGUCCUACUCCAGACCUGGUGCCCAAUAACUGCCUUUUAAUAACAUCCUCAGGGAAUUUUAGGCACACAAAAUUGUGAAAAACACAGAACCAUUUCUCUAUAGUUCCCAGGCCCUAUUUAACUCUAUAAAGUUUCAGAGUCCAGAGGUCAAGGUUUCGGAAGGGAUAGGGUUCUGGAAUGUUAAAAGUCUAGAUUUUUAAGGUUCUAGGAUUCUAAUACUCUGAGGUUUUAGGAUUCUAAUGUCCUCUGGUUCUCAGAUUUGAGCCUUCUAGGUUUCCACUGUUCUAGAAUCCUAAGGGUCUGAAGUUCUGAGGCCCCCAGUACUGAGCAUCUCUGUGGGUGGCAGGCAGGGUGCUCACAGCAGAUAAUAACCAGUCCUCUUCCUUCUCCAUCUCUCCUCUUGCUCCUCUGGCCCCUUUCCUUCCUUUCCUCUCUCCAUUUCUCUCUCUGUGUGUCUCUCUUUCCCUCCUUGUCACCCUCAGCUGUGCCCAGCAGUCCGUGGCCUCCUUGAAAGCCUGGAUGCGGAGUAUGUUAAGAACCGCAUUGGUGAACUUUGGGAAGCCCAGCAGGGACAGUGAAGAGCACAGAUGAGGAAACUGCUGUGAUGCCCACCUGCUGAUUGAAUCCUGACUCAAUCUCUGUACAGCCUCCCUAUGGGACAGGCAGUGCUGCUACCAUCUAUCAGGAGGGACAACUGAGUCCAGUCAAGCACACUCUCAGAUACUCCUUCUCUCAAUCAGGACACCCUGUGCUCAUCACCCUCCACCCCAGCAAUAAAAAGC